CUUACCUUAACACAUGAAAUCGAACCCAGAUGAUGGAAGCUCUACGCGAUGCUUCACCGAUGCAGUUUGGGAAAAAUCCACGAUGCAGGCAGGUCUAGCUUGGGUUUUCACACACCCACCGUCCUCUCUGGCUCGCCAAGGGACCCAGAUUCAAGCUUAAGUAAGCUCUCCCCUAAUGGCAGAAGCUCUGGUCAUUCGAUUGGCCCUCCAACAGGCAGUACUCCUUGAUGUCACUGAUGUCAAGAUCUACUCCGACAACCAAACUCUUGUAAGAGUCAUCAACAACAAACUCUCCGACAAAGAGAUCUAUGGUGUAGUCCAAGACAUCAUCAAUCUCUCUGCUCUGUUUGUUCAUCUAUCGUUUUUCUCAGUUUCUAGGGUUGAAAUGGGGAAGCUGAUAUGUUAGCAAAAACCAUUCUCAAAACCCACUUAGUGUAAUGAAUCUAUGGGCUUAGGCCCAAAAACUAUAUUUUCCUAAUUAAAUUACAAGUUGAUAAAAAAAAAUUGAAGCCCCCACUGUAUGUUUUAAUAUUUACAGCAAUGCCACUAUAUUUAAAUUAAAAAAAAAAACAUUUAUGAAAAUUAUCCAACGAUUCUUAACUAUUUUCUUAAGAUAAAUAUAUAUAUAUAUAUAUAUUAUCUAUACUAUUAAAACACAAGAUCUUAAUUGAAACCCCCUUGAUAUAUUUUAAUAUUUACAGAAAUACCACUAUAUUUAAAUUUAAAUAAACAAACUAUGACAAUUAUUAUACUUAUCCAACUAUUCUUAACUAUUUUCCUAAAAUGAAUCCUACUAUAUAAAAGAAGCUAUUUUUAGAGCUUCUAAGGGGUGCCACAUCAGAUGAAAUAUUCCUCACCAAUUAAAGUGACAUGUCAUACUUAUGUUUGUGUGUGUAUUCUUUACGCCGACGUCAUGUUUUCUGCCACGUCAAACACCUUCUCUUUCUUCGAGCGUAGUCUUCUUAGUGUCCUAUAUUCCACCACCGAUCUCAGAACCCAUGUGUAACGCUAUCGUUCCUCAUUGAAGCCACUUGACAACGUCUCUCCAUUAACUACCUCUCUGUCCAGCUCUCCCACUAUGUCGACUUUAAUAACCCAUUUCUCAACUUCCAUCAAAAAUCUCUAAUUCCUGAGACUAUAAAUAGGAGAGAUGAGAACCUCUAGAAAUCUCUCUGCCUCACGAGAUUCAAUCAUAUUCCUUCUUUACUACACACAAUUUGCAACGGUGGUGUUAUCCCAUAUAUUUCUUUACGAUUUGAAAAUUUGACAGUAGUCCUCAGAUGGUGGUGCCACGUUUCAUGGGUUUUUGGAAAGCACGUAACGUCGCAGAAGAAAAGCUGAGACGAGUCAAAAGGUGGAGUUUUCAUGUCCCCUCAAUGAUAUAAUUUAAUUUUAUUAUGUUUUUUCUCUAAUAUUUGUUCCAGUUCCUUAAGAACAUUAUGUUGUGUGGGCUUAAGAAACUAAAAUUUUGAUCUGCUAUUGCCUGUUGAAAUAACAUACCCUAUUGGUCAGCGUUAGAUUUGAAAGUCUGGGCACUUCUUUUGUUUUAUUUCUAUGUUUGUUCGUGUAUUGUGUCUUUUUGAUUAUGUUCUCUUAGAUUGUUUCUACAAAACCUUUGUUUCUCUUUGAGCUUCCUGUUGAGCAUAGUUGAGCAACCAUAUCUUCUUUUGUUUGCUGUUGAAAUCAUUAUAGACUCAUUGCAAGUGUUCUUAAAGUAAUGUUUUUAUUACCCCUCUCCCAGGUAUCUACAGAGCAAGUAACUCCAGAGUGAUCAGAGACAGAAGUAGGAGACAAAGAAGAGGUGACAUUAACGGAUCAGAGAUACUGACGAGAACAAUCAACAGACGACAGACUGUAAAACCCGGAAGGGUCCAAAACUCUGCCGUGUCCAAGAUGCAAGAGCAUGGACACUAAGUUCUGUUAUUACAACAACAUAAACCAGCCUCGCCAUUACUGCAAAGCCUAUCAGAGAUAGUGGACUGUCCACGGGACUAUGAGGACUGUACAUGAGGGUGCAGGAAGGUUCAUGAAGCCGCUACAACAAAAUUUUAUCCUCUUAUUACCGUCACAUGACAAUCUCCGAAGCUCUAGAGGCUGCAAGGUUUGUUCAGAAAAUACAUACCAACACUCGAGUCCUGAGUUUUGGUGUAGAGAAUUUAUUGCUUUAGCGGCUCAUCUGUGACCACUUCUAUCAAUCACUCACUACAAAUAGUUUAAAUUAACGAGACGAUUCCCGAAACUCAUGUGCAUGAUCAUCAUAUCGUCUAUCAUUGUCUAAUUUGGGUUAUUCCUCCUUCACCAUUUCCUUCAUGCACGUAAAAACAAAUCUAUAUAUAUUCUCUUACAUAUAACUAAAAACCAAGAAUAAAAAUAUAAAAAUAAAAUAUAAAUUUUAAUCCGUUGUGAUAAAAUCCAUUAUUUUCAUCAAAACUAAGUAACUAUGAUAAAAAAAAAGCAAUUAGAUCGUAAUUAUUUUCUCUUUCAGAUAAAUGCAUACUUCAAUUUUGUAAAACGUCAUAAAGUUUUUCUCUCAUGUUAUAACUGUUAUAAGUUCUACACAAUUAGCAUAUAACCCAAAGAUAUUGGAAUAUAUGUUAGCAUCUUCUAUAAAUUAGUUACUUAAGUAAUUUAAAUAAUUUAUUUUAUUAUUUUUAAGUUAAACAUCUACAGUCUUAUGAAUUAAUACAAGAAAUAGAAAAUUAUACACUAUUUUGAAUAUAUAUUUUCAUAAUUUUUGUAGAAAUUCAUUAGAGUUUCGAAAAUUUCUAAAUUAAUAAUACAUUUUUCCUAUCAAAUUAUUAAAUAGUUUUAUUUGAUUUUCAAAUAUAAUAACAUAAUUAUGAUUCAAACAAACUUGUAUAUUUAUAAGGAAUAAUAGUUACUUUUUUUUUACAGUAAACAUUCACAAACUCAUGUUGACUCUGUAAACCAAAGUGGUAGUUCUGCAUCCAUAUGUACGACGAAAGACGGUUGUUUCCGAGCACUAAUGAAUAAUAGUUACUAUGAUGAGGUUUUCAUGCUGAUUACCUAAUUUAAAGUAAUUUAUUAAUAAUGAGUCUGCUAUUUUUCCAUAGUUUUUUUUUCAAACUGGUAUUUUUACAUAGUUUAAAUUAGCAAUUUAAAAAAAAAAAAUAGUGUCACUAGAUUCAUUAAACUAACGUACAAAAGAAAAAAUAAUAUAUGUUACUGUGUUCUAUAGAAUCGACUACUGUUUAAAAAUAAUUUAUUAUAUUUACUACUAAAAUCAAGAUAGAAAAUAUUUAAAUGGUCAAAUAAUUAUAUUUUCUUAUUUUUAAUGGUAAAAAUGGUUUGUAUAGAAAUAAUACUAAAACAAAUAGUAAAAAUUAUGGUAAAAAUAAAAAAAGGUUAUUUUUAUUUUUCUUGAGAAUAAAAUAAAUAUUUAAGAUUUAUUUAUAUUAUUUUGUUUGUUGCUUUCCCGCCCGAAGGGCGGGUUGGAUCCUAGUAUAUAUAACAACUUAGCAACAUCAUCGAUCUUCACUCAAGAUUAAAUUUAUAUGACCAUUUCUUAUGAUAUCACGGAUAAUGGUAUAAAUUAUUAUUAUAUAUAUUAGAUGAUGUUGAUUACUUUCGAUGAUAUCACAAAUAAAACUGAAAUGAAAUGACUAUAAACACAGAAAUACUCUUCAAUAACAUAUCUAUCUAUAUUAUUAAAACUGAAGUACACAUUGAGAUUGUUUGGAAACAUGAAUAGUAAUCUUAAAGAAAAUUGUUUGGAAACUUGGAUAAUUAUUGGUCUUUUAGUAAUUUCAUUAACAUAAGGCUUUAACCAAUGUUUCUUAUCCUGUCCCGUUAAUCUUCUAAACCAUCUGGUUUAAUUAAUUCAAUUAAUUUUUAAAAAAGACGCUACAACCUAAAAUCUCGCAUGCAAUCUUAGCAAUAUAUAGAAAUCAGUCCCAUAUAUUACGUAAUUAUUCAUAGGAAGAUUUUUUUCCACUUCUUUUUUUUUCUCCAAGGUAGAUAUCUUUUAGCUCUGUUAUCUUUCCUCCUAAUUUCCGUCAGAUGCCUUUCUAAUUUGUUACCAUAAUCUGCGCAAACAUUUAUAACAAUAUUUAUAAAUCAUUCCCAUAUAUUUUCAAAAGAUAUGAUUUAGUUUAAAAAAUUUAAUGCAGAGAAUAUCCGCACAAAAUCUAUGCACGCCAUAACUCCCCUUAACCAACAUUCUUUCACCUGUCUAUAUAUACCGAGUCUAAGACGUUCCUAACAUUCACACACAUCUCAGAAAACAAACAUGUCUGGCGCAAGAAAAAUGGUUCUUAUCAAUGAUCUCAAGCCAUUCAAAGACGAAUGGCGAAUUAGUUUUAAAGUGUUUUUAUUGAGUUCUAACAAGUAUUGAUUUGCUUUUAUUUUAGACAGAUUACUGUUUUUCUUUAAGUGUUAUAAUUUUGAACUUCUUUGUUAUUUAUAACACAUUCAUUCACAAGAAUACAUAUAUGCAUCAUUAUUCAAUCAAUACUAAAGCCAUAUAGUACUAUGUAACUAUGUAAGGCAAUGGUUCAAUCUUAAUCCUAAAUCUACAUGAUACUACAUUGCUUUCAUAUCAAUUAAGUAAUAAUAGUUACUAACCCUAAGUUGUUGUUUACUUUCUCUGCUCAGGGUGGGAGAGUAACUUCGUUCUGCUCAGCUUGUGGUUGUUCCUUCGCCCACAUUUUCUCAUUGUAAACAAAAAACAACAACCGCUCAACACACUAGAAAAAUACAAAUUUGUUGUCCAUUUUCAUGGAGUAAUCUCUGAAACUCUGAUAAAUAAGUAAAUACACAUAUUAAAACCAGCCGUACUUACUUCUUUUCAACAGUGCUCUUCCCAUGAAAAUAAUUGUCUUCCUCCUCCACUGGCUUGCCAAAGACACGAUGCUCUGUAAAAGCAACCUCAUCAAACUCCUCUAAUAAUUAUUCUCGAUCUAUCAACUCCACUACAGCUCCAAUAAACUGCUUCUAUGUUUGCAGCACUUCUGGAGAAGCUGAUAUACCAAUUCCAAUUAAUAUACACACAAAGCAACUGAAGAAAUAAAUAACUAAAAUCAGUAAAUUAUCUGCCAAUACAUGAACAUGAACGAU
This is a long non-coding RNA of Brassica rapa (field mustard), 5076 nucleotides long. RefSeq lists it as uncharacterized. NCBI's taxonomy places the organism in Eukaryota, Viridiplantae, Streptophyta, Magnoliopsida, Brassicales, Brassicaceae. The record is from RefSeq and is a predicted model, not a curated record.